GAUGAACGCUGGCGGCGUGCCUAAUACAUGCAAGUCGAGCGAACAGACGAGGAGCUUGCUCCUCUGACGUUAGCGGCGGACGGGUGAGUAACACGUGGAUAACCUACCUAUAAGACUGGGAUAACUUCGGGAAACCGGAGCUAAUACCGGAUAAUAUAUUGAACCGCAUGGUUCAAUAGUGAAAGACGGUUUUGCUGUCACUUAUAGAUGGAUCCGCGCCGCAUUAGCUAGUUGGUAAGGUAACGGCUUACCAAGGCAACGAUGCGUAGCCGACCUGAGAGGGUAAUCGGCCACACUGGAACUGAGACACGGUCCAGACUCCUACGGGAGGCAGCAGUAGGGAAUCUUCCGCAAUGGGCGAAAGCCUGACGGAGCAACGCCGCGUGAGUGAUGAAGGUCUUCGGAUCGUAAAACUCUGUUAUUAGGGAAGAACAAAUGUGUAAGUAACUAUGCACGUCUUGACGGUACCUAAGCAGAAAGCCACGGCUAACUACGU
Molecule: ribosomal RNA, 496 nt
Filed under: uncultured bacterium
Lineage: Bacteria
Description: partial 16S ribosomal RNA
Rfam family: Bacterial small subunit ribosomal RNA
Source: RNAcentral